This is a long non-coding RNA of Mesocricetus auratus (golden hamster), 2818 nucleotides long. RefSeq lists it as uncharacterized. Lineage: Eukaryota; Metazoa; Chordata; Mammalia; Rodentia; Cricetidae. The record is from RefSeq and is a predicted model, not a curated record. The transcript has 4 exons.
GGGGGAGUUGGCCUGAUGCCCCUAUGGGCUCGGCCUGCCGCCGCCGCGGGGCCUCCCGAUACUGCGCGCCAGGCCGGGUUCCGGAAAGCGGGCGGCGCUGGCGGGGAACGCAGCAGCAGGGAAAAUGCCCUGACUGCGGGGUCGCGGCAGUGGAAAGCUGGUGCGUGAUACAGCACCGUGCGCGAGAUGCGGCUAGACUCGGCGCGCCCGAAACCAGGAGACACUGAGGCAGCUAUGUGGCUGAAUCUUCUCGUGCAGUCCCCAAACAGCCGGGAAGGACAGAUCCUGAACAUGACGGGCUGGCGAUUGACGACACAUGCUGCAGGACCCACAUGGGGUCACUACAUGCCAGCACAGAUAAGGGUUAUGAUCCUGGCUUCUUACCCAGAUAACUCAGGAUCACUAUCCCAGGGGUGGUCCCACCCAUAGUGAGCCAGGCCCUCCUCAUCAGUCAUCAACCAAGAAAAUGCUGCACAGACUUCUCUGCAGACAGUGUGGUAGAGGACUCAUCUAUUAAAGGCCCUACCAUCUCCCAGCUCUGCAACAUUGAGGACCAAGUCUCUGGCACAUGAACCCAGAGGAAGGGAAGUAUCAGCUCCAGGGCUUCAGCCUUCCUGUCUACCUAAGGGCAGAGGUCAGGGACAGAAACAAAAUCAAGAAGCAUAUGGGACACACAGGAACAGGCUUCUGGGAGUCUUGAGACCUGCUCACAGGGCACAUCCUUAGCAUUCAUGCCCAGCAGAUUCUCUGUGCAGCAGACCAGCCAUUGCACACAUGGAGGAAAAUGGCAAGACAGACCUACAGACGAAAAGGAUCCAGAGUGACCAGAACCAAACCAUCACACGAUGAUGUCACAUGAGGGGCUGAUAUUGGGGGAAUGAUGCUGGAAGAUAAUGGUGAUUGACACUUUCUGGCUAGACCUUCCUGGAUCUGCAGAAGCAUGAAACCAAUGUUUACAUGCAUGGGGAGGUGGUCCCUAACAGGAGGAUGCCUUGGAUCCCAUCACUCCACACAGACUCACUUCUCACCUGUCCAGGCACCAAAUUUCAAGAGCAAAAUGAAGACUUGCUUGUGUCCUGGUGCAGGCUCAGUACCUGGUUCUGCAGAUGGUGGAGAGAAGGGUUAAGGUGGGGUUUGGGAGGCACUGGAGAGAGCCCAAUGAACUCAGCUGUCCACCAGAGGUGGCACUUGUUAGGUAGUCAUAACUAGACUGCCAUAGUUGCUGUUCCUCCGCCCUGAAAGCCCAGUCUUGUGCCACUGGGCAGAACUGUGUUGGCCAUCAGGCUUGGUCCCUGGCUUCUUGGCCAGUGUACUUAUGUGUGUUGUUUAUCAGAGUUUAUGUUGACAUUACCCAGGACCAAGCUUGGCAGUCCCAGCCUCUGCCACUGGCCUUUGUGCCCUUCUGGUAGAGCUGAGCUCUGCAUCACACAUGUACAGAGAAUGAAGAGAGCCACUGUAACAUGCUGAGCAUUUAUUAUGCAUCAACAGCCUUCAGCCACUGUAAGUAUUAACUCCGUCAUGUAUAUCCAGGGGCUGUUGUUACACAUAUUGCUCAGAGUCACAUGGCCAUUAUGUGGAGAAGCCAGUGUCAGGCAGGUGUUCUCUAUGCCAUCUUGGGAUGCCACUUCUCUGUCACACUGUGCUGACAGACAGGAAGGGUCCCCAAACCUUCAAGUACAAUCAGGAGGGCAGAUCUUCUUACCCAGUGGAGGGUUUGGUCCCAGGAUCCCCUCUCUGGAACGUUCUGAGAAGUCACCCUGCUGCAUACUCUGGAGAAGCAUGGAAAGAAUUUUGUAAAUGCCAGUUUUGUUUAUAUCAUUCAGCUAUAGGUUGGCUUCCGGCUUACCCAAAGACAGCAUAAAGCCCCAAACUAUCUUUCUGUUGGAUCCAACACAAAUCAUCUCUCAGUUGGGUUUUGGGGUCUCAUGCCAUAGCUUUGGGUACCACAGGCUAGUGGCGUCUAGGGGGAUGCUGGGCUAAGGUAGGAAUUCUAGAGAAAUGAACUGUGUGCAGCCCCACAGUGAGGGUGGAGUCUGUCUCCAAGUGCUGCUGCAGGUGGUAGCCUGGAUGAAGUCUGUGAUUGUUUCUGCAGUGAUGAGAAGAAAUCCACUCCCGCCACAGAGCAUCCAGGAUUUGAUCAGCUUUCUCAUGCAAAGCUUUUCUUUCAGAUCACAGGAAGAAAGGUAUGCUGCCUGACCUGUUGGCUGGGCUUUCCUUCUGGGUAUCUUACUUCUGGUGGCCUGCUGGAGUUUGGCCAUAGCCCUGUCAGACUUUGCAACAUCCCAGGGAGAAUGGUGUUCUACCCUGCUGGCCUUCUCCAGGCCUAGGCUGGGUCUCCUUGGGGACAGAGUCUGUGUUGCAGAUCAGUCUGGGAAACGUGAGUCUCUAGCAGAAUUCAGCGCUGGGGAAACCGCUGCAAAAUUACUCCCUUCCUUCUCUGGAGGCCAGUGGACAAGAGAGCAUUGUGUAGGGUCAAAGCCCUCCUGUCACAAAAGGGCCUUUCAGAGAAACUGAUGGGGUGGGCAGGACCCUGGCAGCCUGGGCUCCUGGGGACAUGCCCUAUCUUCCAUGUGCACUGGGAGAUGCAUGUAUGUGUGUAUGUGCACAAGUAUGUUCAUGUAUGUGUCUGUUCAUGUGUCUCUUCUGUAUGUGUGUAUGUAUGUAUAUUUGUGUGUGCAUGAGUGCAUGUGUGUGCACAGUGUGUAUAUAUAUAUGUGCAUAUAUGCACAUAUAUAUGUAUACUGGGGACAGGGAGGUAGGUUUGUGUAUUUGCUGUAAACUGGGAUAGAACAGAGUACUAACAGAUUUCUCUGAGAAA